Long non-coding RNA from Manacus vitellinus (golden-collared manakin), 439 nucleotides. RefSeq lists it as uncharacterized. The transcript is spliced from 3 exons. NCBI's taxonomy places the organism in Eukaryota, Metazoa, Chordata, Aves, Passeriformes, Pipridae. The record is from RefSeq and is a predicted model, not a curated record.
GGUACCUCCUGGCCCCUUCUCACCACCACCAGGGAAGGGCCCAGCACUUCUCACCUCACCCACCCCUUUUCCCCCCAGGGCCUUCUGCCCCACACACAGCCCAGAGCAGGCAGUGGAGGCGACUCCAGAGCUGGGCACUGAAUGCCUCAUCUGCUUGGAGCCUGUGGAGGACAGAAUGGCCUUCAACACCCUGGUGUGCCCAGCUUGCAGAACCGCCUGGUUCCACAGGGACUGCGUCCAAGGACAGGCUCUGCAUGCUGGUCUUUUAUCCCUCUGGUGCCCCCUCUGCAGAAAUGAUGACACAUUUCUCAGGGAUAUGUUCACCAUGGGGAUCCGAAUCCCCUUCAGGCCACCAUCAUGGGAGAGCAAUACUGCAUUCGCUGAGCCAGGAGACAGACACGGGCACUGCGAUGCCUUUGUCCAGGAGGCAGGCAGGAGG